This 74-nucleotide transfer RNA is filed under the name Microcaldota archaeon. Its description in RNAcentral is "tRNA-Pro". It matches the Rfam family "tRNA". From Rfam's summary of the family: Transfer RNA (tRNA) molecules are approximately 80 nucleotides in length. Their secondary structure includes four short double-helical elements and three loops (D, anti-codon, and T loops). Further hydrogen bonds mediate the characteristic L-shaped molecular structure. tRNAs have two regions of fundamental functional importance: the anti-codon, which is responsible for specific mRNA codon recognition, and the 3' end, to which the tRNAs corresponding amino acid is attached (by aminoacyl-tRNA synthetases). tRNAs cope with the degeneracy of the genetic code in two manners: having more than one tRNA (with a specific anti-codon) for a particular amino acid; and 'wobble' base-pairing, i.e. permitting non-standard base-pairing at the 3rd anti-codon position. The record is from RNAcentral. Lineage: Archaea; Nanobdellati; Microcaldota.
GGGGCUGUGGCGUAGCUUGGUAGCGUACUAGCAUGGGGUGCUAGUGGUCGUGAGUUCGAAUCUCACCAGCCCCG